Molecule: long non-coding RNA, 247 nt
Filed under: Sorghum bicolor (sorghum)
Lineage: Eukaryota; Viridiplantae; Streptophyta; Magnoliopsida; Poales; Poaceae
Description: long non-coding RNA (SBIC_LNC015243)
Source: RNAcentral
CAGCCCGUGCGGCCCCAGACGCGGCCGGAGCUGGUGCCGGCCGGCACGUUGAUCGUCCACGUCCCGCCUGAGUUCAGCUGCGUGCCCCCGCCGACUGGGGUCGCCGCCGGCCACACCGUGAACCCGCAGUUGUUCUUGAUGGUGAAGGUCGCCGCGUGAGUGCCGCUGGCCAUCAAGGUGGCGGCGAGGAAAAGCAGGAGGAUCGAGGACGAUGAGGCGGCCAUAUAUUGAUGCUAAUACUAUGCGA